CAGUAGCCGCGGUAAUACGUAGGUGGCAAGCGUUGUCCGGAAUUAUUGGGCGUAAAGGGCUCGCAGGCGGUUUCUUAAGUCUGAUGUGAGAGCCCCCGGCUCAACCGGGGAGGGUCAUUGGAAACUGGGAAACUUGAGUGCAGAAGAGGAGAGUGGAAUUCCACGUGUAGCGGUGAAAUGCGUAGAGAUGUGGAGGAACACCAGUGGCGAAGGCGACUCUCUGGUCUGUAACUGACGCUGAGGAGCGAAAGCGUGGGGAGCGAACAGGAUUAGAGACCCCGGUAGUCCCUGUCUCUUAUAC
Molecule: ribosomal RNA, 301 nt
Filed under: uncultured bacterium
Lineage: Bacteria
Description: partial 16S ribosomal RNA
Rfam family: Bacterial small subunit ribosomal RNA
Source: RNAcentral